This 400-nucleotide ribosomal RNA is filed under the name phytoplankton environmental sample. RNAcentral describes it as "partial small subunit ribosomal RNA". It matches the Rfam family "Eukaryotic small subunit ribosomal RNA", at positions 587 to 985 of the family's 1831-position model. The record is from RNAcentral.
AGCUCCAAUAGCGUAUAUUAAAGUUGUUGCAGUUAAAAAGCUCGUAGUUGGAUUUGGGACUGGAGUCGUUCGGUCGGCCGCAAGGUCUGUUACUGAACGGCUCUGUCAUCACAUUCCCAGAGACCUGCCGUGUACUUAACUGUGCGCGGUACGGGAUUUGGGACGUUUACUUUGAAAAAAUUAGAGUGCUCAAAGCAGGCGCUUUGCCUGAAUAAUGGUGCAUGGAAUAAUGGAAUAAGAUCUUCGGAUCUAUUUUGUUGGUUUUCGGAAGCCGAGAUAAUGAUUAAGAGAGACAGACGGGGGCAUUCGUAUUGUGGUGUUAGAGGUGAAAUUCUUGGAUCGCCGCAAGACGAACAACUGCGAAAGCAUUUGCCAAGCAUGUUUUCAUUAAUCAAGAACG